GCCUAAUACAUGCAAGUCGAACGCACUCUCGUUUAGAUUGAAGGAGCUUGCUCUGAUUGAUAAACAUUUGAGUGAGUGGCGGACGGGUGAGUAACACGUGGGUAACCUGCCCUAAGUGGGGAUAACAUUUGGAAACAGAUGCUAAUACCGCAUAAAACCUAACACCGCAUGGUGUAGGUUGAAAGAUGGUUUCGGCUAUCACUUUAGGAUGGACCCGCGGUGCAUUAGUUAGUUGGUGAGGUAAAGGCUCACCAAGACCGUGAUGCAUAGCCGACCUGAGAGGGUAAUCGGCCACACUGGGACUGAGACACGGCCCAGACUCCUACGGAGGCAGCAGUAGGGAAUCUUCCACAAUGGACGAAAGUCUGAUGGAGCAACGCCGCGUGAGUGAAGAAGGUUUCGGAUCGUAAAACUCUGUUGUUGGAGAAGAAUGUAUCUGAUAGUAACUGAUCAGGUAGUGACGGUAUCCAACCAGAAAGCCACGGCUAACUACGUG
This 496-nucleotide ribosomal RNA is filed under the name uncultured bacterium. Its description in RNAcentral is "bacterial SSU rRNA". It matches the Rfam family "Bacterial small subunit ribosomal RNA", at positions 46 to 507 of the family's 1533-position model. The record is from RNAcentral.